UACAAAUUCAUCACAUGUUUAUGAUUUUAUAUGGGAAUCAAAAAGCUUUCAUGGAUGUUCACCAUGUGCUCAGUGCUGUCAACAGACCCCAUUAUGACAACACAAUGUAACGGAAUCCUUGCCAUGAUAUCAUUGCUGGUUCCAUCUGACAAGCAAAAUAUCAUUUCCACUCUUUUCAUGAUAGAUCUCUCACAGAGAUAGGUUAAGUUCUUAUUUUGAUAGUGUUAAUAUUUAUCAUCAAUGGCUUAUCGAGGAAGAAAGUUUGACAAACUCCAGAAGGAGAACUCUCAGAUAUAGAGCGUCAUCAAAAACUUGAGGAAGCAAAACAUGGCUUUAAACCAACAGGAUGACCAGGACAAGUUUUCAAGUUUUGUAAGGCUCAUCAGUUUUUCAAAAAUAUCACUGUGUUUAUUUUGUGGUUUCAUAGACAUACAGUAGGCCUACAUCCAUAACAUCUUUAGCUUAAAAGCUUUAUAUGACACACUGUAGAAACUAUUUUGACUACUUCCCUUCUGCUAUUCAUUUCAUACUGUACCAUUGUGAUCCAGGGCCAUCAGGAGAGCUACCCAAUCCCAGAGGGCCAUCGGGGCUUCAUAAGUGAUGCCAGACUUCUGCAGAUGCAGAGAGCUGAGAGAGAGGCCAUGGAAGCAAAGCAAAGAAAGAUAAGUGCUAUCCAUGAGAAUUAUGUCCGGACUGCUCUCAUCGGGGUUGGCAGCACCUUCGCGCACCACUUCGUCCCCUCUAUUCAGUGCAUUCCGCAGCCGAAAGCUCCACCGAGGCCUUUGCCACGAAGGCUUGAACACAUAGCUCUGGCCCCACUGAAGAACGUGGUGGGGGUGGACGGAGCCCAAGUUCGACCCGGAUCUCACUCUCUGGAGUCCAUAGAGGUAAAUAAGUCAUUCAGCAGCAGUAGCGUGCGGCCUGUUCCCGUCCCUCCCGCUGGAGCUCCCUCCAAGAGGGGCAAGAAGAAGAAGGGCAGGCGGGGAGUCAAAGCCCUGAAAGUCCAGUUGGACCAGGCCUGUGCUGACAACAACGGACCCAUUGACCUGAUGGAGGAGGUGAGGGACAUCGAGGCUCACCUGAAGGAGGAGGCCUGGAAGGUGGUACAUGAGGUGAAGGCCAUGGGCAGGAGAAGUUUGGGCUCGGCCAUGUCCAUGGGGGAAAUAGCCACCAGCUCUCUGGGAAGCCUGAGCUCAGUGGAUAUGAACACCCCUGCGGAGCUCCGUGACUACUUGGAUGUUGGGACCCCGGUAAAGUCGCGUGACAGCCCACCCAGGCCUGCUCCCCCUCCUACCAAGCCCAGGAGCAAACUGCCUCGGCCUAC
RNAcentral lists this long non-coding RNA (1324 nucleotides) under Salmo trutta (river trout). RNAcentral's name for it is "lncRNA (ENSSTUG00000049835.1)". Lineage: Eukaryota; Metazoa; Chordata; Actinopteri; Salmoniformes; Salmonidae. The record is from RNAcentral.